RNAcentral lists this ribosomal RNA (292 nucleotides) under uncultured bacterium. RNAcentral describes it as "partial 16S ribosomal RNA". It matches the Rfam family "Bacterial small subunit ribosomal RNA", at positions 505 to 796 of the family's 1533-position model. The record is from RNAcentral.
GUGUCAGCAGCCGCGGUAAGACGAACCGUGCGAACGUUAUUCGGAAUCACUGGGCUUAAAGGGCGCGUAGGCGGGUCCGUAAGUCAGGGGUGAAAUCCCACGGCCCAACCGUGGAAGUGCCUCUGAUACUGCGGGCCUCGAGGGGGAUAGGGGCGUGCGGAACUCAGGGUGGAGCGGUGAAAUGCGUAGAUAUCCUGAGGAACACCGGUGGCGAAAGCGGCGCGCUGGAUCCCUUCUGACGCUGAGGCGCGAAAGCCAGGGGAGCAAACGGGAUUAGAAACCCUCGUAGUCC